Termitomyces sp. T32_za158 is the source of this 124-nucleotide non-coding RNA. Lineage: Eukaryota; Fungi; Basidiomycota; Agaricomycetes; Agaricales; Lyophyllaceae. The record is from the annotation of a GenBank genome assembly.
GGUGAGAUGGCCGAGCGGUCUAAGGCGCCAGACUAAGGUUCCUGUACCACAGAUGUACCACAGAGCUCUUCGCUCUUCUUAUCUGGUCUCUUCGGGGGCGGGAGUUCGAAUCUCCCUCUCAUCA